GACGAACGCUGGCGGCAUGCCUUACACAUGCAAGUCGAACGGCAGCACGGGUGCUUGCACCUGGUGGCGAGUGGCGAACGGGUGAGUAAUACAUCGGAACGUACCUAUCGUGGGGGAUAACGCAGCGAAAGUUGCGCUAAUACCGCAUACGCCCUGAGGGGGAAAGCGGGGGACCGUAAGGCCUCGCGCGAUUAGAGCGGCCGAUGUCUGAUUAGCUUGUUGGUGAGGUAAAAGCUCACCAAGGCGAUGAUCAGUAGCUGGUCUGAGAGGACGAUCAGCCACACUGGGACUGAGACACGGCCCAGACUCCUACGGGAGGCAGCAGUGGGGAAUUUUGGACAAUGGGGGCAACCCUGAUCCAGCAAUGCCGCGUGAGUGAAGAAGGCCUUCGGGUUGUAAAGCUCUUUUGUCAGGGAAGAAACAGCAGCUCUAACACAGUCUGCGAAUGACGGUACCUGAAGAAUAAGCACCGGCUAACUACGUGCCAGCAGCCGCGGUAA
RNAcentral lists this ribosomal RNA (500 nucleotides) under uncultured bacterium. Its description in RNAcentral is "partial 16S ribosomal RNA". It matches the Rfam family "Bacterial small subunit ribosomal RNA", at positions 28 to 523 of the family's 1533-position model. The record is from RNAcentral.